CCCUUAGAGUUUGAUCCUGGCUCAGGACGAACGCUGGCGGCGUGCCUAAUACAUGCAAGUCGAACGAAACUUUCUUACACCGAAUGCUUGCAUUCACCGUAAGAAGUUGAGUGGCGGACGGGUGAGUAACACGCGGGUAACCUGCCUAAAAGAAGGGGAUAACACUUGGAAACAGGUGCUAAUACCGUAUAUCUCUAAGGAACGCAUGAUCCUUAGAUGAAAGAUGGUUCUGCUAUCGCUUUUAGAUGGACCCGCGGCGUAUUAACUAGUUGGUGGGGUAACGGCCUACCAAGGUGAUGAUACGUAGCCGAACUGAGAGGUUGAUCGGCCACAUUGGGACUGAGACACGGCCCAAACUCCUACGGGAGGCAGCAGUAGGGAAUCUUCCACAAUGGACGCAAGUCUGAUGGAGCAACGCCGCGUGAGUGAAGAAGGUCUUCGGAUCGUAAAACUCUGUUGUUAGAGAAGAACACGAGUGAGAGUAAC
This 486-nucleotide ribosomal RNA is filed under the name uncultured bacterium. RNAcentral describes it as "bacterial SSU rRNA". It matches the Rfam family "Bacterial small subunit ribosomal RNA", at positions 1 to 465 of the family's 1533-position model. The record is from RNAcentral.